UUUUCCAGUGAAAACUUCAUCUGUUGAUAUUUACUGUGAACGUUUUGUGUAUAUUUAAAUAUAUUCAGCUAUGUUAAAAGACAUGUGUAAUGUCAAAUCAUAAAAAUACUAAGUGUUUAUUCUUAAAGAAAACUUGUAAGAUUUCCACAGCUGUUUUUGUUGAAUAUGUGCAAUUUGUGUACUCAGUGCAAUUUGGGUACUGUUACGUUAUAUCUGUUCUCUACAGAGCUAAGUAUUUAGUGACAAUCUAUUUUCGUAUUGGAUAAUGUAUCUGGUCUAAAAAAAAAUAGUUUGCCACAAGUAUUUAGUGACAAUUAUCUAUUCCUGUAUGAGAUGAUGUAUCUGGUGUGAUUUUUUUAUUAUUUUACCACUGAAUGAAUCACCAAUCAAACUAUAUAAAUAGAUUGAAGUUAAAAAAAAUAUCUGGAAAAUUAACUGAAUCCUUAGACAGAAUGAAUAAUAUAAUUAUAACUUUUUUGUUAUGCCCAACUGCUAGUCGAAGGGGCAUUAACUUUUACUGUUGUCAUGAUGUCCAUCCAUACAUAUGUCUGUCUGUACAGAAAUUGGUUUCCAUUUUCUUACUUUAUUUGCACUCAAUUAUUUUUUUCACAGAACACAGAUCAAUUUAUUCGAAUUUGAGUGGCAUCACUUUGACCGUUCGUGAGUUAUGCCCCUUUAUUAAUGCAAAAAUUGCUGAAUCUUUCUUUUCUUUUCUCUAACUUUAGUUUGUCCCAACAAAUGUUAUAAAACUUAUACACUACUUAUUACCACAAAACACAGAUCAAGUUUGAAUUUUACUCCCGUCACUGUAACCGUUCUUGAGUUACAUGUAUUUAUGCUCCUUUAUUAUUAAAUGGAAAAAAUUGCCAAAUCUGUGGUGGAUCCGACAAACUGUUGUAUACCGAUUUUAUUUAUUUAGAUAUGAUUUACAAACUUCAGAAAAGGUUGAGAAGCAUUUUAAUUCUAAGGAAUUCCAACCUGAAGCAAGUUGUACCAAUGGAAUUGAUGGAAGCCCCCAUUAGAACACUGUGCAUAACUGGGGUUGCAACUUCACCAUCUCAUACAGCAUCUAGUUCAUCAAAGAUGACCUAUGCUGAAGUGGUGAGACUUCAUGUGCAUGCAACAGGUCAGACCAAACUAAAACCACGUUUGAUAUUAAGUGUAUGGAAAUGAAGAAAUCAAUUGGAGUCCCUACAUUCAAAAGGAGGAGUGUGUCUUCAGUUGAGAUUGGUAGAAAAAAAGAAAAAACAAUACAGGGUAAAGACAAGUGAUCUAGUAUUUGGGGUCACAGAGGAUGUGGCUGUAGUCCUACCAAACAAAGCUUUACUGGAACAUAGUUUUUAUCAGACUCACAUAAAAAAGCAACUGCUUGAACCCAUAUCAAUGCAGCCUACGAAGAAAAUGUCUGUGAUGAAGAAAGAAGAAAAGAGCACCUUUAAUUGUCCUGUUUGUCCAGUGAUGUGCUUAAAAGAAGACUUUUUGAUAGAUCAUGUUAUUUUGGCCAUACUAAAAAAAUAAAAAAAGGUUUGAUUGAUAAUGUCAUAUAUUACAUGAAACUACAGCCUUCAUUCAAACACUCGGCAUCUUCCCAAAACAAAAAUGAAACAUUUGAUAGAUUAGCGAUUCAAAGAACUCAAGGACUCAAGGACGUUGAACCGAAAAACAACUCAUAACCAAUAACUAUCACGUAAGAAAAUGCUUGUAAAUAUUUAAAAAGUGUGUACAUGACAUUUGAAAAAAAGAAAGCGUGUAUUACACAAUUGAAUAGGUAACUAUGGAUACAUGUACUUUUUAUCAUAUAACCAAUUGGAAUGUUACACCAUCAUUUCCCAGUCAAUCAUAUUCAUGCAAUUUUUUAUUCACUCCUUGCAGUGUAAUUCAAGAAAUAUCUCUUAAUGUGAGAAAUAGACAACAUGCUAUAAACAUGAGAAAAUAGAUUUAAUUUUCUAAGGCUUGACACAUUUAUAAAAUGAUCAACAUAGAAUAAAGAAUGGAAACGGGUAAUGUGUCAAAGAGACAACAACUCAACCAAAGAGUAGAAAACAGCCCAAGGCCACCAAUGGGUCUUUAAUGUGCACUAUUAUAUGAUUGUUAUAAGCAAAAAAUAAAUAAGAAUUUAUGUUCUUAUGCCUUCAUUUAUUUUGUAGGCAGAAUUCAGACAGACAGAG
Mytilus californianus (California mussel) is the source of this 2168-nucleotide long non-coding RNA. RefSeq lists it as uncharacterized. The transcript is spliced from 5 exons. NCBI's taxonomy places the organism in Eukaryota, Metazoa, Mollusca, Bivalvia, Mytilida, Mytilidae. The record is from RefSeq and is a predicted model, not a curated record.